GUCAAGUAACUAAGCGCAUACGAUGGAUGCCUUGGCUGGCAGAGGCGAUGAAAGACGUAAUAGCCUGCGAUAAGCUCGGGGGAGCUGGCAAAUAAGCUUUGAUCCCGAGAUCUCUGAAUGGGGAAACCCAGUUUGUGUAAGCAAACUAUCGUUAACUGAAUACAUAGGUUAACGAGGCAAACCCGGGGAACUGAAACAUCUAAGUACCCGGAGGAAAAGAAAUCAACCGAGAUUCCCUCAGUAGCGGCGAGCGAACGGGGACCAGCCCU
RNAcentral lists this ribosomal RNA (269 nucleotides) under Pteridomonas danica. Its description in RNAcentral is "partial Bacterial large subunit ribosomal RNA". It matches the Rfam family "Bacterial large subunit ribosomal RNA", at positions 1 to 271 of the family's 2925-position model. Lineage: Eukaryota; Dictyochophyceae; Pedinellales. The record is from RNAcentral.